Molecule: ribosomal RNA, 512 nt
Filed under: uncultured bacterium
Lineage: Bacteria
Description: partial 16S ribosomal RNA
Source: RNAcentral
GGAGUUAGCCGGUGCUUCUUCUGCGAGUAACGUCACAGAUGUAAGGUAUUAACUUACACCCUUUCCUCCUCGCUGAAAGUGCUUUACAACCCGAAGGCCUUCUUCACACACGCGGCAUGGCUGCAUCAGGGUUUCCCCCAUUGUGCAAUAUUCCCCACUGCUGCCUCCCGUAGGAGUCUGGGCCGUGUCUCAGUCCCAGUGUGGCUGAUCAUCCUCUCAGACCAGCUAGGGAUCGUCGCCUAGGUGAGCCUUUACCUCACCUACUAGCUAAUCCCACCUGGGCUUAUCCAUCAGCGCAAGGCCCGAAGGUCCCCUGCUUUCCCCCGUAGGGCGUAUGCGGUAUUAGCAGUCGUUUCCAACUGUUAUCCCCCACAAAUGGGCAAAUUCCCAGGCAUUACUCACCCGUCCGCCGCUCGUCAUCUUCAAAAGCAAGCUUUUGAAAUGUUACCGCUCGACUUGCAUGUGUUAGGCCUGCCGCCAGCGUCAAUCUGAACCAAGAUACAAAUUACUGA